RNAcentral lists this ribosomal RNA (301 nucleotides) under uncultured bacterium. RNAcentral's name for it is "partial 16S ribosomal RNA". It matches the Rfam family "Bacterial small subunit ribosomal RNA", at positions 509 to 807 of the family's 1533-position model. The record is from RNAcentral.
CAGCCGCCGCGGGAAUACGGGGGGGGCAAGUGUUAUUCGGAGUUACUGGGCGUAAAGCGUGCGCAGGCGGUGUUGUAAGACUGAUGUGAAAUCCCCGGGCUCAACCUGGGAACUGCAUUGGUGACUGCAACGCUGGAGUGCGGCAGAGGGGGAUGGAAUUCCGCGUGUAGCAGUGAAAUGCGUAGAUAUGCGGAGGAACACCGAUGGCGAAGGCAAUCCCCUGGGCCUGCACUGACGCUCAUGCACGAAAGCGUGGGGAGCAAACAGGAUUAGAUACCCCCGUAGUCCCUGUCUCUUAUAC